This 232-nucleotide non-coding RNA is filed under the name Fragilariopsis kerguelensis. The record is from RNAcentral. Lineage: Eukaryota; Bacillariophyta; Bacillariophyceae; Bacillariales; Bacillariaceae.
ACAAAACGAAGGAGACACAACAACGACGACAACAACGAUAGAAAGCUAUAAGGAUGAUUGUAGCUGUUUGUUGUAGCUGUUUGUUGUUGUUGCUGUUGCAUUCUUCUGCAUUGCCCUGCCGUUCUUAUUCUUUAUUUUAUUCAUUCAAUUUGAAUCAUUGAUAUGAUGGAUUUUUUCGGACUGCUGACAAAUCAAAUCGAAUCGAACAUUCAACGAUUUUUAAGAAUUAUAU